AUUCAGCUGACGAGUCCCAAAUAGGACGAAGUAGCGGGUAUCCUGGAU
RNAcentral lists this non-coding RNA (48 nucleotides) under Schistosoma mattheei. The record is from RNAcentral. Lineage: Eukaryota; Metazoa; Platyhelminthes; Trematoda; Strigeidida; Schistosomatidae.